RNAcentral lists this ribosomal RNA (305 nucleotides) under uncultured bacterium. RNAcentral's name for it is "partial 16S ribosomal RNA". It matches the Rfam family "Bacterial small subunit ribosomal RNA", at positions 506 to 807 of the family's 1533-position model. The record is from RNAcentral.
ACAGCAGUAGCCGCGGGAAAACGUAGGGUGCGAGCGUUAAUCGGAAUUACUGGGCGUAAAGCGUGCGCAGGCGGUUCGUUAAGACAGAUGUGAAAUCCCCGGGCUUAACCUGGGAACUGCAUUUGUGACUGGCGAGCUAGAGUAUGGCAGAGGGGGGUAGAAUUCCACGUGUAGCAGUGAAAUGCGUAGAUAUGUGGAGGAAUACCGAUGGCGAAGGCAGCCCCCUGGGAUAACACUGACGCUCAUGCACGAAAGCGUGGGGAGCAAACAGGAUUAGAUACCCCUGUAGUCCCUGUCUCUUAUAC